RNAcentral lists this ribosomal RNA (104 nucleotides) under uncultured archaeon. RNAcentral describes it as "partial 16S ribosomal RNA". It matches the Rfam family "Archaeal small subunit ribosomal RNA", at positions 368 to 473 of the family's 1478-position model. The record is from RNAcentral.
CGACGGGGGAACCCAAGUGCCACUCUUAACGGGGUGGCUUUUCUGAAGUGUAAAAAGCUUCAGGAAUAAGAGCUGGGCAAGACCGGUGCCAGCAGCCGCGGUAA